UGACUAGGGAUCACGAGUCAUCUGACUACGGAUCAGAGGGUUGCGGGUUCGAAUCCUGCCGAGU
This 64-nucleotide transfer RNA is filed under the name Streptomyces parvus. RNAcentral describes it as "tRNA-Arg". The record is from RNAcentral. Lineage: Bacteria; Bacillati; Actinomycetota; Actinomycetes; Kitasatosporales; Streptomycetaceae. RNAcentral also lists the same sequence under 1 other name.